GACGAACGCUGGCGGCGUGCCUAAUACAUGCAAGUAGAACGCUGAAGAGAGGAGCUUGCUCUUCUUGGAUGAGUUGCGAACGGGUGAGUAACGCGUAGGUAACCUGCCUGGUAGCGGGGGAUAACUAUUGGAAACGAUAGCUAAUACCGCAUAAAAUGGAUUAUCGCAUGAUAAUCCAUUGAAAGGUGCAAAUGCAUCACUACCAGAUGGACCUGCGUUGUAUUAGCUAGUUGGUGGGGUAACGGCUCACCAAGGCGACGAUGCAUAGCCGACCUGAGAGGGUGAUCGGCCACACUGGGACUGAGACACGGCCCAGACUCCUACGGGAGGCAGCAAUACGGAAUCUUCAGCAAUGGGCGGAAGUCUGACCGAGCAACGCCGCGUGAGUGAAGAAGGUUGUCGGGUCGUAAAGCUCUGUUGUAAGGGAAGAACGAGUGUGAGAGUGGAAAGUUCACACUGUGACGGUAUCUUACCAGAAAGGGACGGCUAACUACGUG
Molecule: ribosomal RNA, 497 nt
Filed under: uncultured bacterium
Lineage: Bacteria
Description: partial 16S ribosomal RNA
Rfam family: Bacterial small subunit ribosomal RNA
Source: RNAcentral